Brassica rapa (field mustard) is the source of this 4725-nucleotide long non-coding RNA. RefSeq lists it as uncharacterized. The record is from RefSeq and is a predicted model, not a curated record. NCBI's taxonomy places the organism in Eukaryota, Viridiplantae, Streptophyta, Magnoliopsida, Brassicales, Brassicaceae.
ACGGAAGUCACGAGGAUCUACCUCCUACCACUUCGUCUUCUCUGCUUGAAACCAUAGCGACUUCUUUCGUAUCAGCUCCCUCUUUUCUUCGUCUUCUACAUAAUCAAUACUCAACUUCGAUCAAUCAAUUUCUUCAUUAUGAUUUCGUUUCAGCUCCCUCUUCUCCUGCUUCUUUAUAUACUCAACUUUCUUUGUACAAACCUAAACCCUAGAACCGCUCUAAUCUCAAUCCAUGGCGACGAAACCAAAUGGAAAUUCCCCUGUCUCAUCCGCUUCUGAUGAAGAAGUCAUGUUCUUCAGAGAUAUCUCUAGGUACCCACGAAACUCAGCUGCGCUUCCCUCUGCUACACUUCUGGAAGGCUUGGAACCCCGACGCUUAUUAGCCUGGAGAUGUUCCUCAUCGACGAAAAGGUUAUAUGAAAUCUUCAAUUUUUUUACCUUUAGUUCCAAAUUAUUUAACUUAGUUCCAAUCUUCAAUCUUCUAAAAAAUUUUGGUUUUUAGUUCCCACUUAUUUAAUAAAAACAUUGUUAGUUCCCACUUACGUGAAAUCUUCGUAAUCUAUCUUUUUAGAGAUUUGAUGAAUUAACAAUGUUUAAGAUUACUACCACCAAUGAUCUGUUUGCUCAGUUUUAAAAAAAAGGAUGAAAAUAAACGUGUUUAGAACUUUGACCACCACUGAGAUGUUUGUUUUCUUGCUUUAUCUCUAUCUACUUUAUCGCUUAUCACUUUUUCGUUUGCAUAUAAAACAUUGUUAGUUCCCACUUAUUUAGCUCAUCGUUUGCUUUAUCUCUAUCUACGUUUUGGAGAUUUGUAUUCCUUUAAAGACCUAAAAAUAUGUUAAAAAGUUUUGGAUUCCUGCUGUCAACUUCUGACUUUAGAACUGAAGCAGACCCACUGAGAUGUAGUGUUCUUAGAGUAAGGAACUUCGAGAUUCGAGUUUGAUUCUGUCUCGAAUGAGAUAAUACAUAUUCUAUCUAAUUUGAUGAAAUUUCAAUUUUUUUUUUUUUUGGUCUUGGAGAGUCGUAGGAAGAAAGGGAUGAAUCGACCGUGACUGUUAAUUGAGAUACUACAAGUUACAAUUGUGAGUAAAAAUGUGGUUGCCUACUUUGAGCUAAGGCUCAAUUGAGGGAGUGAAGAGAAGAGGGGAGAUGGCGUUACACAGGUUCAUCUCAAUGUCUACGAUAUAACACAUGUGAACAACUACCUCUGUUGGUCUGGCAUAAUUCCAUUCUGGAAUAUACAGUAUGUUUAUUCUAUUUCUCUUCAUAACUCUUCUCUCUUAUAUAACUUAGUUAUUUGAUGAAAACCAUUUUUAUGAGUCUGUAUAUCAUGGACCAUUUUUAUUUAUUUAGAGUUUUAACACUGUUUAUCAAUUCAUUAUCUUAAAUUAAAUUAUUCAGUGGAGGAAUCCACUUGAAAGCCAAAUUUAUUUAGUUGGUCUGUCGUUGUUAGUUGAAACGAAGAAUCAAAGCCGUCAGUUGGGUAGGUCUUUGUUUCUGAUAUCUAUGAUCAUUUGUAUUCGGUAGCUACGUUGAUGGAAUGAGUGAUUAGAGAAUGCUUUGUUUUCUUUAACCCUUCAAGUCUCUAAAUAGGCCAAAGCUUCCCAUGCAUCAAGAUAAGAGAUUAAAUCAAAGAUCAAAUUUUGUUUGGAUCUGGUGAUGCCCAUUACUGUUUCAUUAGGUGCUGAAUUUUGGUAUGUUUGAGUCAGAGAAGGAAGCCAAGAAAGAAUUUUUCCCGAAGUAUCGAGUCCAGUGGAGUGGAGUUCUUGAUACUCUCACCAAAGGUGUAGUUUCUUUUCCUGUAUUCCACCAUUACUUAACCUUUUGUGACAAUUAUGUUUUUUUAAACACGAUCUGUUCUGAAUAAUAACUUGAUUUAUGCCAACACAGUGGUGGUCUUCAAUGUAGUUAUUGUUGCUUUGUGUGAGCUUUAUGACAAGCCUCCUCUGCUUUUUAAGUUUUGGAAAAGAAUUUUGUUUAUAACCAUAAUAAAUUAUGUCCUGAGAGAAUACUAUAAUGUAGUGAAAUAAUCUUCAAACCCAGUUUUUUUGAACCAAGUGAUCCAUUUAUUUUCUGAACUAAAUCCUAAUAUGAAUUAGGUCAACGGAAAUAAUUUAAUCAUGUUCGCAUAGGUCUUGAAAUAAGAUUACUGUUCUUAACUAAAUUAUGUCCUGAGAGAAUACUAUAAUGUAGUGAAAUAAUCUUCAAACCCAGUUUUUUUGAACCAAGUGAUACAUUCAUUUUCUGAACUAAAUCCUAAUAGAAAGUAGUUGAGAAUUUCGAAUAGGUCUUGAAAUAAGAUUACUGUUCUUAAAGGUUUCUGUAAAAUCUUGCCUUGCUACUAUAUGAUCCUUUGGUUUUAGUUGUUGAAAAUUUCACGUCUCGAGAAUUUUGGUUAAGAUCCUCCUUUGGUUUUCCUUCAGAUUCAUUCAGCAAAUGCUCGGAGGUUCUUCAGUCCCUGAUUAUGAGAAGCUUCAAGUGGAUAAGUUUUAUUUUCAAAUAAAGUAACAAUGAGUUUCUGCGUAAAACAUCAGGAAAUAUUAAGAAACGUUUCGCCUCCUCAAUCCCUUCAUUACUUCCCAACAUAUUCUUAAAUUUGUUACUGGAUUCCAGAAACGUUGAGAGAGGUCUUGCUUCCCUAGACAUAUUUAUUCUGAAUUGCAUUUUGUUUCUCUCUACGGAUUUAAGAAUAAAAAAUAAAAAAAUGACCUAUUCCCAGUCUAAAGGCAUAACAACAUUAUUCAUUUGCUCUCUUUCAUCAAUCUUAAAUAUGCAAUGUUUCAUUUUUGAGUUUUUAUGUGGUUCAGGCUACUGAUCAAUAAGAAUAACAUGUCUCCAGAAUUUUCAUUGGCGUUUUUCUAUUUUUCCUUCCUUCCAGGUUUAGAUUAGUUUUCAGUGAUAUAUUGAUUUGUACACUACUUUUUCUUACAGUGAGUUAGCAAAUGGUUGCUUCAAAGUUGAAAAAGCUUAUUUGUUAAACCAUCAUGCAAAUUAUAUUAGACCAAAAUUAACUAUAAUAAUUAAACAUGAUUAAAAAACUGUGAAAAACGUUUAAACAAUGAUAAAAAUCACUAAAAACAAAUAAUUACUUUAAACUUAAAAUAUAAGACACCACUAUAUAACAAUAUUGUAUUUUCAUAUUUUAAUCCAUGCAGCUGUUAUAAACUACUAUAUUUUUUUUCCGUUCAAGUGUUAUAAACUACUAUUUUUUUCAGUCAGUAGAAAACCAUGAUACGUAUUAGUAAAAGUAGUCACAUAUAAAAUUGGUAUAUAACAUUCGAUUACAAAGUGGACGUAAACCUAGAACAAUACUUGGAAGUUCGUUAUUAGAGAUUUUUUCCUCACGCAUUUACAUAUGGUAAAAUUAUGAACUAAUAUGAUUUAAGCUGUAUACACAAGUGAUAUAUUAAGUUUACAAAAACCCUCAAACUACCUUCAUUUUUAUUUUGUUAAUCGCAUUACAUUUUUAUUUCAUAUAAUGAAAAUAUAUGUUGCAAUAACAUAAGCUUUAUAUAGAAAAUACAAUCUCAUAAAUUUUAAAACUAAAUCGCAAAUUUAUAAAAAUAUUUAGUUGAAAAGGUGAAACGGAAAUGACUAUUUAAAAAAAACAGAAACAACUGUUUGAAAUACAAAAUCAAAUUUAAAGCUUAGAAAAAUGUGAAUGCAAAAAAUUCAAUUAAAAUAUAAGAAAUAGGUACGAAAAAUAAAGAAAGAUUAAAAUCAAAAUAGUAUAUGAAGUUUGACAAAACAAAUAUUAAAGACUCAAAGUAAGAAAAAAAUAAUAGUCUAAAUCACUAAAUAUUGUUAGUUUAAAUUAAAAUGAUAAGGCUAUAUCGAAUUAGAAAUCAUUUAUAUUUUCAAUUUGUGACAUUAGUAGAAGAUAGUAGAUUUUUUUUACUGGAAAUGAAAAAAUAAUAAGAAAAUAAUAUUUUUGGAUCAUAGUUUUGGACUGAAAAUAUAUUCGAAAUUUCCCUUAUUGGUAUAUAAAUAUUCAUUUUAAUAACAACGUAAUAACCUGAUUGUAUUUUUUAAAAUAGUAAUUUUUAAAUCAACUAAUAUAUAAUAAUAAAAUUUAAAUAAAUUAUGAAUAUAUUUUGAGAAUAUUUUGAUUAUCAUUUACACUGAUUUUAAAUCCAGAAUAAUAUUUUAACUAUAGCUAGAUUGUAAGAUAUUUUUGUUUAUAAGUAAACAAAUAAUUUAGUAAUAUUAAUUGCUGACAAAAAAUAUGAUAAUCAUAAUAAUUUCAUAGAAUUUUCAGUGUAUUUUACACAUAGAACAUUUUUAACGUAAUUUUAUUUAAAGCAAUGAGUAUUUAAAUUAUCUUUACUUAUUAUAAUUGUAAGAAAUAUGUUAUAAUCGUAAGAAAAUAUAUUAUAGGAGAUUAAAUAAAAUAUAAAUAAAAACAUCAAUAUGGUAUAAAUAAUACAUAUGACAAAGAAAUAUACGAUAUGGAGAUUAAUAAUAUAUAUUUUUAAUAACCUAAAUAUGUAACAGGAGAUAUUUUGGAUAAUAACUAAGGUUUCACAAAUUAUUUAUUCAUUUCACAUUUUCUCACCAUUCCAAAUAUAUUAAAAAUAGAAAAAAAAUUGUAAGUUUUACUCAUUUCUAAUUCAAUUUAAUAUUUAUAUUUAUAUUACAUAGAAGUAAUAUAUUGUAAUAUAGAUAUCAAAUACAAUAUUAUUUUAAUAAACCCGGGCGUAGCCCGGGAAAAACCUCUAGUAUAUU